Molecule: long non-coding RNA, 377 nt
Organism: Ochotona princeps (American pika)
Lineage: Eukaryota; Metazoa; Chordata; Mammalia; Lagomorpha; Ochotonidae
Exons: 3
Source: RefSeq, a predicted model, not a curated record
AAAUUGCAUUCCUUCUUCAAAAUUGUCCGUUUUUCUCUCUUAGGUCAUUUCAAUGGAGUCUGGACUCAUGCCUUCCCUGGUUCUGCAGAGAUGGAGAAGUCUGCCCUCUCUGAAAAUUCAGAGGAGGGGACAGAAGGAUAAUGAAGAGGAAAAGGAAUAGAAGGAGAAGGAGAAAAGGCCACAAGAUGGGGUAGAGGCUGUGAUCUGGCCUAUGUAUAACAGAUACACUGCUUAAGUAAUCUGGCAAAAGAGAUCCUACGAACUUUCCUUGCCGUGUUACUCUCUUAAUAUCUCCAGACCUAGACCCAUUCUUUUUGCUCAUAUGCUUCAAGAUAAUGGUGACAGCACGCAGCAACUCCACGAUGAAGAAACCCUGG